GAUGAAGAACGCAGCGAAAUGCGAUAAGUAAUGUGAAUUGCAGAAUUCAGUGAAUCAUCGAAUCUUUGAACGCACCUUGCACCCUUUGGCAUUCCUAAGGGUAUGCUCGUUUGAGUGUCAUUGUACUCUCACACUUCCGAUCUUUGGAUUGGGAGCGGUGGACUUGGGUGUUGCUGCUUACUGUGGCUCACCUCAAAUCGAUUCGUGCACCUCUUGGUUGGACAUAGUACGGCGUGAUAAGUGUCUUCGCCGGCACCUCAGUAGAGGGUGGCUGAUCGGGAGCUCUGCUUCAAACCGUCCUCGGACAACAACUGACAACUUGACCUCAAAUCGAGUAGGACUACCCGCUGAACUUAAGCAUAUCAAUAAGCGGAGGA
RNAcentral lists this unclassified non-coding RNA (377 nucleotides) under soil metagenome. Its description in RNAcentral is "partial contains 5.8S ribosomal RNA, internal transcribed spacer 2, and large subunit ribosomal RNA". The stretch from base 1 to 120 matches the Rfam family "5.8S ribosomal RNA", at positions 35 to 154 of the family's 154-position model. The record is from RNAcentral.